UACAGAGGUCUCAAGCGUUGUUCGGAUUCAUUGGGCGUAAAGGGUGUGUAGGUGGCGCCGUAAGUCGGGUGUGAAAUUUCGGAGCUUAACUCCGAAACUGCAUUCGAUACUGCGGUGCUUGAGGACUGGAGAGGAGACUGGAAUUCAUGGUGUAGCAGUGAAAUGCGUAGAGAUUAUGAGGAAGACCAGUGGCGAAGGCGGGUCUCUGGACAGUUCCUGACGCUGAGGCACGAAGGCCAGGGGAGCAAACGGG
RNAcentral lists this ribosomal RNA (253 nucleotides) under uncultured bacterium. Its description in RNAcentral is "partial 16S ribosomal RNA". It matches the Rfam family "Bacterial small subunit ribosomal RNA", at positions 524 to 776 of the family's 1533-position model. The record is from RNAcentral.